Molecule: ribosomal RNA, 492 nt
Filed under: uncultured bacterium
Lineage: Bacteria
Description: partial 16S ribosomal RNA
Rfam family: Bacterial small subunit ribosomal RNA
Source: RNAcentral
AGUGAACGCUGGCGGUAGGCCUAACACAUGCAAGUCGAACGGCAGCACAGUAAGAGCUUGCUCUUACGGGUGGCGAGUGGCGGACGGGUGAGGAAUACAUCGGAAUCUACUUUUUCGUGGGGGAUAACGUAGGGAAACUUACGCUAAUACCGCAUACGACCUACGGGUGAAAGCAGGGGAUCUUCGGACCUUGCGCGAUUGAAUGAGCCGAUGUCGGAUUAGCUAGUUGGCGGGGUAAAGGCCCACCAAGGCGACGAUCCGUAGCUGGUCUGAGAGGAUGAUCAGCCACACUGGAACUGAGACACGGUCCAGACUCCUACGGGAGGCAGCAGUGGGGAAUAUUAGACAAUGGGCGCAAGCCUGGUCCAGCCAUACCGCGUGGGUGAAGAAGGCCUUCGGGUUGUAAAGCCCUUUUGUUGGGAAAGAAAAGCAGCAGGUUAAUACCCCGCUGUUCUGACGGUACCCAAAGAAUAAGCACCGGCUAACUUCGUG